RNAcentral lists this ribosomal RNA (207 nucleotides) under uncultured bacterium. RNAcentral describes it as "partial 16S ribosomal RNA". It matches the Rfam family "Bacterial small subunit ribosomal RNA", at positions 568 to 774 of the family's 1533-position model. The record is from RNAcentral.
UGCGUAGGCGGCCCAAUAAGUCAGGUGUGAAAGCCCUCGGCUCAACCGGGGAAUUGCACUUGAAACUAUUGGGCUUGAGUCUCGGAGAGGGUGGCGGAAUUCCAGGUGUAGGAGUGAAAUCCGUAGAUAUCUGGAGGAGCACCAGUGGCGAAGGCGGCCACCUGGACGAGUACUGACGCUGAGGUACGAGAGCGUGGGUAGCAAACA